UAGGGAAUCUUCGGCAAUGGACGGAAGUCUGACCGAGCAACGCCGCGUGAGUGAAGAAGGUUUUCGGAUCGUAAAGCUCUGUUGUUAGAGAAGAACGUUGGUAGGAGUGGAAAAUCUACCAAGUGACGGUAACUAACCAGAAAGGGACGGCUAACUACGUGCCAGCAGCCGCGGUAAUACGUAGGUCCCGAGCGUUGUCCGGAUUUAUUGGGCGUAAAGCGAGCGCAGGCGGUUCUUUAAGUCUGAAGUUAAAGGCAGUGGCUUAACCAUUGUACGCUUUGGAAACUGGAGGACUUGAGUGCAGAAGGGGAGAGUGGAAUUCCAUGUGUAGCGGUGAAAUGCGUAGAUAUAUGGAGGAACACCGGUGGCGAAAGCGGCUCUCUGGUCUUUAACUGACGCUGAGGCUCGAAAGCGUGGGGAGCAAACAGG
This 429-nucleotide ribosomal RNA is filed under the name Bacillota bacterium. Its description in RNAcentral is "Firmicutes bacterium partial 16S ribosomal RNA". It matches the Rfam family "Bacterial small subunit ribosomal RNA", at positions 355 to 776 of the family's 1533-position model. The record is from RNAcentral. Lineage: Bacteria; Bacillati; Bacillota.